AAAAAAGUAAUGAUGGGAAUAGUAGUCUUUAUCUAUGAUUUUCAGAGAAUCCUUGGUUGGUGAAAAAGGAUAUUCAUAAACUGACGAAUACGCCCCUGAACUGAUAAUCUGAAAUAAAAGUAGGAUUAUUCGGGUACGCCCGUUAAAGCGUUUUAAGGUCGGGUUUUUAUUCGAUAAACUGAGGUGGUACCACGGUAAAAAAUUAUCGUCCUCUGA
This 216-nucleotide non-coding RNA is filed under the name Ruminococcus sp. RNAcentral describes it as "T-box sequence". It matches the Rfam family "T-box leader". Rfam says of the family: Uncharged tRNA acts as the effector for transcription antitermination of genes in the T-box leader family. Lineage: Bacteria; Bacillati; Bacillota; Clostridia; Eubacteriales; Oscillospiraceae. The record is from RNAcentral.